RNAcentral lists this transfer RNA (77 nucleotides) under Erysipelotrichaceae bacterium. RNAcentral's name for it is "tRNA-Arg". It matches the Rfam family "tRNA". From Rfam's summary of the family: Transfer RNA (tRNA) molecules are approximately 80 nucleotides in length. Their secondary structure includes four short double-helical elements and three loops (D, anti-codon, and T loops). Further hydrogen bonds mediate the characteristic L-shaped molecular structure. tRNAs have two regions of fundamental functional importance: the anti-codon, which is responsible for specific mRNA codon recognition, and the 3' end, to which the tRNAs corresponding amino acid is attached (by aminoacyl-tRNA synthetases). tRNAs cope with the degeneracy of the genetic code in two manners: having more than one tRNA (with a specific anti-codon) for a particular amino acid; and 'wobble' base-pairing, i.e. permitting non-standard base-pairing at the 3rd anti-codon position. The record is from RNAcentral. RNAcentral also lists the same sequence under 1 other name. Lineage: Bacteria; Bacillati; Bacillota; Erysipelotrichia; Erysipelotrichales; Erysipelotrichaceae.
GUGCUUGUAGCUCAGCUGGAUAGAGCGCAACCCUCCGAAGGUUGAGGUCACGAGUUCGAAUCCCGUCAAGCACACCA